This is a ribosomal RNA of Chelonoidis abingdonii (Abingdon island giant tortoise), 115 nucleotides long. Lineage: Eukaryota; Metazoa; Chordata; Testudines; Testudinidae. The record is from Ensembl.
GACAUCCAUACCAGACUGAAUGCACCUGAUCUUAUCUGAUCUUGGAAAUUAAAGAGUACCAGGCCUGGCUAGUACUUGGAUGGAGACAAACUGCGAAUCCCAGUUGCUAUAGGCA